AAACAAAUGGAAAACGCAGUUAGCGGCUCAGAUCAGCGACAUGAAUUCCUCGAUUUUCCUUAUUAUAUUAGACCAAUGACGGAGUAUAUUUAUCCUUCUCUCGCCAGUGGUAUACGAAAGGCGCUCUUCCAUCAUGUUACUCGACCUGGUCAACCCAAGUACAUUGCAAAUGGUGUUUGAUUAUAGCAAAGCAUCAUUAAAUUAAAUCUAUUUACGAGUUAUAAAUGUUAUUACUGAUCUUAUAGAGUUGGAAUAUUAUUAAGAGAAUUUCAAUUUCUC
Molecule: long non-coding RNA, 279 nt
Filed under: Hordeum vulgare
Lineage: Eukaryota; Viridiplantae; Streptophyta; Magnoliopsida; Poales; Poaceae
Description: long non-coding RNA (HVUL_LNC011873)
Source: RNAcentral